CCCUUAGAUGUCCUGGGCUGCACGCGCGCUACACUGAUGUGUCCAGUAAGCACCUAACCUCUUCCGAAAGGAACGGGUAACCUUUGCAAAGCACAUCGUGAUGGGGAUAGAUUAUUGCAAUUAUUAGUCUUGAACGAGGAAUUCCUAGUAAGCACAAGUCAUCAGCUUGUGUUGAUUACGUCCCUGCCCUUUGUACGCACCGCCCGUCGCUCCUACCGAUUGAAUGUUCCGGUGAGCUCUUCGGACUGCGCGGUCUGCAGUUUCUGCGUUCCGUGCGGAAAGUUGCGCAAACCUUAACAUUUAGAGGAAGGAGAAGUCGUAACA
Molecule: ribosomal RNA, 324 nt
Filed under: uncultured eukaryote
Lineage: Eukaryota
Description: partial 18S ribosomal RNA
Rfam family: Eukaryotic small subunit ribosomal RNA
Source: RNAcentral